UCCCUGCUGCGGCAGAGCCACUGAGUUCA
RNAcentral lists this non-coding RNA (29 nucleotides) under Homo sapiens (human). The record is from RNAcentral. Lineage: Eukaryota; Metazoa; Chordata; Mammalia; Primates; Hominidae.